GACGAACGCUGGCGGCGUGCUUAACACAUGCAAGUCGAACGGAAAGGCCCUGCUUUUGUGGGGUGCUCGAGUGGCGAACGGGUGAGUAACACGUGAGUAACCUGCCCUUGACUUUGGGAUAACUUCAGGAAACUGGGGCUAAUACCGGAUAGGAGCUCCUGCUGCAUGGUGGGGGUUGGAAAGAUUCGGCGGUUGGGGAUGGACUCGCGGCUUAUCAGCUUGUUGGUGGGGUAGUGGCUUACCAAGGCUUUGACGGGUAGCCGACCUGAGAGGGUGACCGGCCACAUGGGGACUGAGGUACGGCCCAGACUCCUACGGGAGGCAGCAGUGGGGAAUAUUGCACAAUGGGCGGAAGCCUGAUGCAGCAACGCCGCGUGCGGGAUGACGGCCUUCGGGUUGUAAACCGCUUUCGCCUGUGACGAAGCGUGAGUGACGGUAAUGGGUAAAGAAGCACCGGCUAACAACGUG
RNAcentral lists this ribosomal RNA (468 nucleotides) under uncultured bacterium. RNAcentral's name for it is "partial 16S ribosomal RNA". It matches the Rfam family "Bacterial small subunit ribosomal RNA", at positions 28 to 507 of the family's 1533-position model. The record is from RNAcentral.